Non-coding RNA from Manis javanica (Malayan pangolin), 1307 nucleotides. The record is from RefSeq and is a predicted model, not a curated record. NCBI's taxonomy places the organism in Eukaryota, Metazoa, Chordata, Mammalia, Pholidota, Manidae.
GGAACCAUGGUUCGCGGAGUUGGCGACUCGCCGGACCUGGGUUCCGCCGGAAGGGGGAGCCCGGAGCCUGGGCGUUCGACGGGAGGUGAAGAGCGAGGGCGAGUGGACGGUCACCGGAGGCUUGGCUAAGCCCAGGGGGCCGAGGGAGAGGACCCGGGGCUCUCGUUGGGGCAGGAUACCAUGCUCUGAAGAAUUUAAGAACCAAAAGGCCUCUCUCUGGAUUCAUAAUAUCAAUCGAAUGCCGUCCAUCAGGAUGGAGCUAGGAUGUUUGCAUAAAACCUUAAUAUCUUAAAUGUGCUCCACCAAAACAGAUGCAGGGCCUUUCUGCCAAGAACUUAAAUGUGGAGAGGUGAACAAAGAACGGCAUUUCUUCUCCAAAGACCAAGUCUUGAAAUUCACCCUUGCAUCAGCCACAGGUGCAGAAUGUAUUUAUGCCAGGAAAUGACAAAAAUCAAUGGAUAACUGAAGCAGAAAUGAACGUUGCUAUAAAAAUCUUCUCCCAAAGAAAACCCCUGACUCAGAUGGCUUCACGAAUGAAUUCUAUAGUAUUUAUGGAAGAAAUCAAGCCAUUCUACAUAAACACUUCCUAAAAUAAAGGAGGAAGACAGACUUCAUAUCUAGUUUUUUGAGGUCAGCAAAUUGUGAUGUUACAGCCACUAUUACAGUUGAAGUAUUCAGCUUCUAUGCACGUAGCAACAGCAAGGAGAGGAUCUGUUCUUUGGAAUGUCCUACUGAUACCAAGGUCCUUGUUCAUGGAGUCCAAGAAUGAACUUGCAAACACUCAAGUAAAGUGGCAGAUUCUGGAAGAUCACGUCAGCAACCCAAAACCUGAGAUUUAAAGUUUCAUGUUCUUGUAAGGAGGCCAUCGGCCCAGAAGGUGCACCAUCCAAGCGACCAAUCCCUGAUCACCACAGAACUCACCUGUUGUCUUUGUUCCUUGUUCAGUUUCUAUUUUUCUCCUACUUGUUCAUAUCCUAUAAACUCUUGCCAUUUUCUCCCCUGCCUCCCAGUUUUCUGGACCUUUGAGGACAGACAGAGGCUGCCUACUCCAUGCAGUGUUCAAGUGUUAAAGAAAACAUUUAUAUAAAGCCUGUUUGUAUCACCUAAAUUGUCUUUAUUUUUUUAAAGCAUUCGUAAAACUUGAAGCAAUUUGGGGGAAGGGUAGGCAUGCAGUAAGAAUUCGUUAAAUUAUUACUGAAUCUAAGAAUAAAGAAAUAUCACCUGACCACCAUAUCUUGGUCUUUUCAGAAAAAGAAAAGGGGCCAGUGGCCCCUUUAUUGUCAGUGUUUCCGUAAGUGCUAAUUCCU